Xylariomycetidae sp. FL2044 is the source of this 89-nucleotide non-coding RNA. The record is from the annotation of a GenBank genome assembly. NCBI's taxonomy places the organism in Eukaryota, Fungi, Ascomycota, Sordariomycetes.
GGGCGAAUGGUCUAGGGGUAUGAUUUUCCCUUCGCAUCUUGCAUCAAGAUGAUUGGGAAAGGUCCGGGGUUCAAAUCCCCGUUCGUCCA